This 279-nucleotide ribosomal RNA is filed under the name Trichoderma sp. GR-31. RNAcentral's name for it is "partial 28S ribosomal RNA". It matches the Rfam family "Eukaryotic large subunit ribosomal RNA", at positions 351 to 650 of the family's 3401-position model. Lineage: Eukaryota; Fungi; Ascomycota; Sordariomycetes; Hypocreales; Hypocreaceae. The record is from RNAcentral.
GAGUGAUCGAAAGAUGAAAAGCACCUUGAAAAGAGGGUUAAACAGUACGUGAAAUUGUUGAAAGGGAAGCGCUUGUGACCAGACUUGGGCGCGGCGAAUCAUCCGGGGUUCUCUCCGGUGCACUUCGCCGUGUUCAGGCCAGCAUCAGUUCGGCGCGGGGGAAAAAGGCUUCGGGAACGUGGCUGCUCCGGCAGUGUUAUAGCCCGUUGCAUAAUACCCUGCGCUGGACUGAGGACCGCGCAUCUGCAAGGAUGCUGGCGUAAUGGUCACCAGCGACCC